RNAcentral lists this ribosomal RNA (1598 nucleotides) under Osteocephalus aff. cabrerai DO-2022. RNAcentral describes it as "16S ribosomal RNA". It matches the Rfam family "Bacterial large subunit ribosomal RNA". Lineage: Eukaryota; Metazoa; Chordata; Amphibia; Anura; Hylidae. The record is from RNAcentral.
GCUAAUAACCUAGCCCUCCAAUAUUUAAUGAACCUAAACACCUCAUCACAAGAACUAAAACAUUUUGUUAAUUUAGUAAAGGCGAUUAAAAAAUUAAUAGGAGCAAUAUAAAUAGUACCGCAAGGGAAAGAUGAAAUAAAAAUGAAAUAAACAUUAAGCACAAAAUAGUAAAGAUUAAUUCUUGUACCUUUUGCAUCAUGGUUUAACAAGUCUAAUCAAGCAUAACGACUUACAGUUUGACCUCCCGAAACUAAGUGAGCUACUUCAGGGCAGCUUAUUGAGCAAACCCGUCUCUGUUGCAAAAGAGUGGGAAGACCCUCAAGUAGAGGUGAUAGACCUAACGAACUUAGUGAUAGCUGGUUACUCAAGAAAAGGAUUUAAGUCCAGCCUAAAGUCUUCUCAGUUUUUCAAAAACACAUCUCGGACUCUAGAGUAAUUCAAAUAAGGUACAGCCUAUUUGAAAAAGGAUACAACCUAAACUAACGGGUAAUAAUUUAACUAUUUAACCAAGUGGGCCUAAGAGCAGCCACCUUUAAAACAGCGUCAAAGCUUUAUUAUCAUAUAUUCCUAAUACUUUAAAAAUUUCAUAACCCUUUAAUUCUAUUGAGUAAUUCUAUAACAUUAUAGAAAGUAUGAUGUUAAAACUAGUAACAAGAAGAAGACCUUCUCUUUAAUGCAAGUGUAAAUCAGAAAGGACCCCCCACUGAUAGUUAACCCCCAUGAAACCACAUUAACAACCUCGCAAGAAAAACCUAAUGAACUCUGAGUUAAUCUAACACAAGAGCAUUUCAAGAAAGAUUAAAAGAAAAAGAAGGAACUCGGCAAACAUUAACCUCGCCUGUUUACCAAAAACAUCGCCUCUUGAAUCCUUAUAAGAGGUCCAGCCUGCCCAGUGACUCUGUUCAACGGCCGCGGUAUCCUAACCGUGCGAAGGUAGCGUAAUCACUUGUCUUUUAAAUGAGGACUUGUAUGAAUGGCAUCACGAGGGUUAUACUGUCUCCUUUCUCUAAUCAGUGAAACUAAUCUUCCCGUGAAGAAGCGGGAAUAAAUAUAUAAGACGAGAAGACCCUAUGGAGCUUUAAACUCAAUAACAAAUACUAAUCUUAAUUUAACUUCCAGAACAUUAACACUGAUCUUAGUAUUAUGAUUAUUAGUUUUAGGUUGGGGUGACCGCGGAGUAAAAAUUAACCUCCACAUUGAAAAGGACCUUUCCUUGAGCUAAGAGCUACAACUCUAAACACCAACAAAUUGACAUUAAUUGACCCAAUAUUUUGAUCAACGAACCAAGUUACCCUAGGGAUAACAGCGCAAUCCACUUCAAGAGCUCCUAUCGACAAGUGGGUUUACGACCUCGAUGUUGGAUCAGGGUAUCCCAGUGGUGCAGCCGCUACUAAAGGUUCGUUUGUUCAACGAUUAAAACCCUACGUGAUCUGAGUUCAGACCGGAGUAAUCCAGGUCAGUUUCUAUCUAUAAAAGAGUUUUUUCUAGUACGAAAGGACCGAAAAAACAUGGCCUAUACUUAAUGCAAGCCAUAAUUAUUAACUUAUGACCAAAUCUUAAUAAGUAUCUAAUCCAUCACCAAACUCAAAAAAAGAGCA